This 253-nucleotide ribosomal RNA is filed under the name uncultured bacterium. RNAcentral's name for it is "partial 16S ribosomal RNA". It matches the Rfam family "Bacterial small subunit ribosomal RNA", at positions 524 to 776 of the family's 1533-position model. The record is from RNAcentral.
UACGUAGGGGCCGAGCGUUGUCCGGAGUUAUUGGGCGUAAAGCGCGCGCAGGCGGCUUGACGCGCCCGACGUGAAAGCCCCCGGCUUAACCGGGGAGGGUCGUCGGGUACGGUCAGGGUUGAGGGCGGGAGAGGGUGGUGGAAUUCCCGGUGUAGUGGUGAAAUGCGUAGAGAUCGGGAGGAACACCUGUGGCGAAGGCGGCCACCUGGGCCGACCCUGACGCUGAGGCGCGAAGGCGUGGGGAGCGAACGGG